This 1349-nucleotide ribosomal RNA is filed under the name Mycolicibacterium gilvum. Its description in RNAcentral is "bacterial SSU rRNA". It matches the Rfam family "Bacterial small subunit ribosomal RNA", at positions 61 to 1425 of the family's 1533-position model. The record is from RNAcentral. Lineage: Bacteria; Bacillati; Actinomycetota; Actinomycetes; Mycobacteriales; Mycobacteriaceae.
GUCGAACGGAAAGGCCCUUCGGGGUACUCGAGUGGCGAACGGGUGAGUAACACGUGGGUGAUCUGCCCUGCACUUUGGGAUAAGCCUGGGAAACUGGGUCUAAUACCGAAUAGGACCGCAUGCUUCAUGGUGUGUGGUGGAAAGCUUUUGCGGUGUGGGAUGGGCCCGCGGCCUAUCAGCUUGUUGGUGAGGUAAUGGCUUACCAAGGCGACGACGGGUAGCCGGCCUGAGAGGGUGACCGGCCACACUGGGACUGAGAUACGGCCCAGACUCCUACGGGAGGCAGCAGUGGGGAAUAUUGCACAAUGGGCGCAAGCCUGAUGCAGCGACGCCGCGUGAGGGAUGACGGCCUUCGGGUUGUAAACCUCUUUCGCCAGGGACGAAGCGCAAGUGACGGUACCUGGAGAAGAAGGACCGGCCAACUACGUGCCAGCAGCCGCGGUAAUACGUAGGGUCCGAGCGUUGUCCGGAAUUACUGGGCGUAAAGAGCUCGUAGGUGGUUUGUCGCGUUGUUCGUGAAAACUCACAGCUUAACUGUGGGCGUGCGGGCGAUACGGGCAGACUUGAGUACUGCAGGGGAGACUGGAAUUCCUGGUGUAGCGGUGGAAUGCGCAGAUAUCAGGAGGAACACCGGUGGCGAAGGCGGGUCUCUGGGCAGUAACUGACGCUGAGGAGCGAAAGCGUGGGGAGCGAACAGGAUUAGAUACCCUGGUAGUCCACGCCGUAAACGGUGGGUACUAGGUGUGGGUUUCCUUCCUUGGGAUCCGUGCCGUAGCUAACGCAUUAAGUACCCCGCCUGGGGAGUACGGCCGCAAGGCUAAAACUCAAAGAAAUUGACGGGGGCCCGCACAAGCGGCGGAGCAUGUGGAUUAAUUCGAUGCAACGCGAAGAACCUUACCUGGGUUUGACAUGCACAGGACGCCGGCAGAGAUGUCGGUUCCCUUGUGGCCUGUGUGCAGGUGGUGCAUGGCUGUCGUCAGCUCGUGUCGUGAGAUGUUGGGUUAAGUCCCGCAACGAGCGCAACCCUUGUCUCAUGUUGCCAGCACGUUAUGGUGGGGACUCGUGAGAGACUGCCGGGGUCAACUCGGAGGAAGGUGGGGAUGACGUCAAGUCAUCAUGCCCCUUAUGUCCAGGGCUUCACACAUGCUACAAUGGCCGGUACAAAGGGCUGCGAUGCCGUGAGGUGGAGCGAAUCCUUUCAAAGCCGGUCUCAGUUCGGAUCGGGGUCUGCAACUCGACCCCGUGAAGUCGGAGUCGCUAGUAAUCGCAGAUCAGCAACGCUGCGGUGAAUACGUUCCCGGGCCUUGUACACACCGCCCGUCACGUCAUGAAAGUCGGUAACACCCGAA